This 253-nucleotide ribosomal RNA is filed under the name uncultured bacterium. Its description in RNAcentral is "partial 16S ribosomal RNA". It matches the Rfam family "Bacterial small subunit ribosomal RNA", at positions 524 to 776 of the family's 1533-position model. The record is from RNAcentral.
UACGUAGGGUGCAAGCGUUAAUCGGAAUUACUGGGCGUAAAGCGUGCGCAGGCGGUUUUGUAAGUCUGUCGUGAAAUCCCCGGGCUCAACCUGGGAAUUGCGAUGGAGACUGCAAGGCUAGAAUCUGGCAGAGGGGGGUAGAAUUCCACGUGUAGCAGUGAAAUGCGCAGAUAUGUGGAGGAAUACCGAUGGCGAAGGCAGCCCCCUGGGUCGAUACUGACGCUCAUGCACGAAAGCGUGGGGAGCAAACAGG